RNAcentral lists this ribosomal RNA (506 nucleotides) under uncultured bacterium. RNAcentral describes it as "partial 16S ribosomal RNA". It matches the Rfam family "Bacterial small subunit ribosomal RNA", at positions 30 to 523 of the family's 1533-position model. The record is from RNAcentral.
AUUGAACGCUGGCGGCAGGCCUAACACAUGCAAGUCGAACGGUAACAGGAAACAGCUUGCUGUUUCGCUGACGAGUGGCGGACGGGUGAGUAAUGUCUGGGAAACUGCCUGAUGGAGGGGGAUAACUACUGGAAACGGUAGCUAAUACCGCAUAACGUCGCAAGACCAAAGAGGGGGACCUUCGGGCCUCUUGCCAUCGGAUGUGCCCAGAUGGGAUUAGCUAGUAGGUGGGGUAACGAGUCACCUAGGCGACGAUCCCUAGCGGGUCUGGGGAGAUGACCAGCCACACUGGAGCUGAGACACGGCCCAGACUCCUACGGGAGGCAGCAGUGGGGAAUAUUGCACAAUGGGCGCAAGCCUGAUGCAGCCAUGCCGCGUGUAUGAAGAAGGCCUUCGGGUUGUAAAGUACUUUCAGCGGGGAGGAAGGGAGUAAAGUUAAUACCUUUGCUCAUUGACGUUACCCGCAGAAGAAGCACCGGCUAACUCCGUGCCAGCAGCCGCAGUAA